AAAAGCACUUUGAAAAGAGAGUGCAGAGACGUGAAACCGUUAUAGUGGAAGCGGAUGGAGCCGACGUAUCCAGUGCGUAUUCAGCCGUCRUCRAGUGCAAUUUGCUUGUUUGAAGUUCUGCAAAGUCUUCGGCAGGCGAGUGUUGUGCUCGGUGGCGGUGCAUUUGCGUACAGAGUGCGCCGAAUCGGUUGGACUUGUCGUUUGAAGUCCGUCAAGAGGACCAGCUUGCUGGAAACCUGGGCGGUCGGAUCGCGAAUAAGUGUAGCUGUAUAAAACGAGCUGGUGAAUUCGUGGUUGCUUGGCGUGUGGUAGUUUGUUUAUGUUAAGCGCGUGCGUUUGGCAUUUACUAAUUGCUUCAUGCUAAGUUGCUGCACUGCUCGCAUUCGGUGUCCAGUCGGUCACCCAUUUGACCCGUCUUGAAACACGGACCAAGGAGUUUAGGGUGUACGCAAGUCAUUGGGUGUUGAAACUCAAAGGCGUAAUGAAAGUGGGACACUUGGUGUCUGUGAUGUGACCCGUGAGUGAUUCGUUGCUCGUGGGGCAACAUCGACCCAUGACCAGGACUUGUUCUGUUGUGGAGUCUGAGCGUACGCUUUGAGACCCGAAAGAUGGUGAACUAUGCCCGAACAGGACGAAGUCAGAGGAAACUCUGAUGGAAGUCCGAAGCGGUUCUGACGUGCAAAUCGAUCGUCUGAUUUGGGUAUA
Molecule: ribosomal RNA, 705 nt
Filed under: Ptychaphelenchus eucalypticola
Lineage: Eukaryota; Metazoa; Nematoda; Chromadorea; Rhabditida; Aphelenchoididae
Description: partial large subunit ribosomal RNA
Source: RNAcentral